This 643-nucleotide ribosomal RNA is filed under the name Salmonella enterica subsp. enterica serovar Heidelberg. Its description in RNAcentral is "partial 23S ribosomal RNA". It matches the Rfam family "Bacterial large subunit ribosomal RNA", at positions 576 to 1219 of the family's 2925-position model. The record is from RNAcentral. Lineage: Bacteria; Pseudomonadati; Pseudomonadota; Gammaproteobacteria; Enterobacterales; Enterobacteriaceae. RNAcentral also lists the same sequence under 1 other name.
GAAUGCUUUGGGGUGGGGUGACUGCGUACCUUUUGUAUAAUGGGUCAGCGACUUAUAUUCUGUAGCAAGGUUAACCGAAUAGGGGAGCCGGAGGGAAACCGAGUCUUAAUUGGGCGUUAAGUUGCAGGGUAUAGACCCGAAACCCGGUGAUCUAGCCAUGGGCAGGUUGAAGGUUGGGUAACACUAACUGGAGGACCGAACCGACUAAUGUUGAAAAAUUAGCGGAUGACCUGUGGCUGGGGGUGAAAGGCCAAUCAAACCGGGAGAUAGCUGGUUCUCCCCGAAAGCUAUUUAGGUAGCGCCUCGUGAAUUCAUCUCCGGGGGUAGAGCACUGUUUCGGCUAGGGGGCCAUCCCGGCUUACCAACCCGAUGCAAACUGCGAAUACCGGAGAAUGUUAUCACGGGAGACACACGGCGGGUGCUAACGUCCGUCGUGAAGAGGGAAACAACCCAGACCGCCAGCUAAGGUCCCAAAGUCAUGGUUAAGUGGGAAACGAUGUGGGAAGGCCCAGACAGCCAGGAUGUUGGCUUAGAAGCAGCCAUCAUUUAAAGAAAGCGUAAUAGCUCACUGGUCGAGUCGGCCUGCGCGGAAGAUGUAACGGGGCUAAACCAUGCACCGAAGCUGCGGCAGCGAACGUAUCAC